Molecule: unclassified non-coding RNA, 325 nt
Filed under: rhizosphere metagenome
Description: partial ribosomal RNA internal transcribed spacer region
Source: RNAcentral
GUAGGUGAACCUGCGGAAGGAUCAUUAUACACGAUUCAAAUCGUAUAAACCUUUCGAGCACUCGUUUCGUUUUUAUAAGUAAGCCAGUAAGCUGCAGAGGUCGAGAGUUGAGACAGUGUAGCACGCUUUCGGGUGUGCUUGCUCUCUUCCCCGCCUUGCCUCUUCGGAGCGCGAGGGAGCUUCGGUUUACUACACUGUUGCGUCUCGCCGCAAGGCAGGCGCUGUUUUUACUCUAUUUACCCUUUGUAUCCAUUUGUACUAACACGAUUUUUCGUUUGUUUAAGAAACAAAAGAACAACUCUUAGCAACGGAUAUCUAGGCUCUC